UGCUGGCGUGGAUGNAUGUUUGUCCAGUGU
RNAcentral lists this non-coding RNA (30 nucleotides) under Rattus norvegicus (Norway rat). Lineage: Eukaryota; Metazoa; Chordata; Mammalia; Rodentia; Muridae. The record is from RNAcentral.